GUACUCACUUCAACAGCACAUACACUAAAAUUGGAACGAUACAGAGAAGAUUAGCCUGGCCCCUGAUCAAGGAUGACAUGCACAUUUGUGAAGCAUUACAUAUUUUU
This is a small nuclear RNA of Heterocephalus glaber (naked mole-rat), 107 nucleotides long. The record is from Ensembl. NCBI's taxonomy places the organism in Eukaryota, Metazoa, Chordata, Mammalia, Rodentia, Bathyergidae.